GAUGAAGAACGCAGUGAAAUGCGAUAAGUAAUGUGAAUUGCAGAAUUCAGUGAAUCAUCGAAUCUUUGAACGCACAUUGCGCCCCUUGGUAUUCCGGGGGGCAUGCCUGUUCGAGCGUCAUUUCAACCCUCAAGCUUCUGCUUGGUCUUGGGCCGUGCCGGCAACGGCUGGCCUUAAAACUAGUGGCGGUGCCAUCGAGCUCUACGCGUAGUAAUUCUAUCUCGCGUCUGGGCUUCGGUGGACGCUGGCCAGCAACCCCCAAUUUUCUAUGGUUGACCUCGGAUCAGGUAGGGAUACCCGCUGAACUUAAGCAUAUCAAUAAGCGGAGGA
This 330-nucleotide unclassified non-coding RNA is filed under the name soil metagenome. RNAcentral describes it as "partial contains 5.8S ribosomal RNA, internal transcribed spacer 2, and large subunit ribosomal RNA". The stretch from base 1 to 120 matches the Rfam family "5.8S ribosomal RNA", at positions 35 to 154 of the family's 154-position model. The record is from RNAcentral.